This 396-nucleotide unclassified non-coding RNA is filed under the name uncultured fungus. RNAcentral describes it as "partial contains 5.8S ribosomal RNA and internal transcribed spacer 2". The stretch from base 1 to 133 matches the Rfam family "5.8S ribosomal RNA", at positions 22 to 154 of the family's 154-position model. The record is from RNAcentral. Lineage: Eukaryota; Fungi.
UGGUUCUCGCAUCGAUGAAGAACGCAGCGAAAUGCGAUAAGUAGUGUGAAUUGCAGAAUUCAGUGAAUCAUCGAAUCUUUGAACGCACAUUGCGCCUUCUGGUAUUCCGGAAGGCAUGCCUGUCCGAGCGUCAUAAAACCAUACUUAAACCCUCAAGUUUCGGCUUGGUAGUGAGGUUUGCUUCUGAGGGAUGAAAGACAAGACUGUGUAAUAUUCAGUGUAGUCCUUUUUUCUCCCUUUAAAUUUUCUGGCAGAUUAAAUUUACUCUGAAGGAAGGGGGAAGUGUAGUAGUAGAAAUUAUUUCUUCACCAAACCUUUUAAUAGAUACAAAUUCUAGCCAAAAAAAUUCUUUUUUUUAUUCUUUUUGACCUCGGAUCAGGUAGGGAUACCCGCUGA